Long non-coding RNA from Chinchilla lanigera (long-tailed chinchilla), 775 nucleotides. RefSeq lists it as uncharacterized. The transcript has 2 exons. The record is from RefSeq and is a predicted model, not a curated record. NCBI's taxonomy places the organism in Eukaryota, Metazoa, Chordata, Mammalia, Rodentia, Chinchillidae.
CUGCUUAGUCUCUUGGAUUGCUAAUUUUUGUGUUUUUUUUUGUUUUGUUUUUGGAUUGGUCAUUCAGAAUCUGGCACUGUGUCAGGAACACACUGAAGCAACCCGCUGGCAAAUUCCUUCUGGAGGAAGCCUGACCCUCCCGCCAUGAGCCAGCACCAGCUUGCAAGCCGUGGGAGUCAAGCAUGUUCAAAGGCGCCCUCCGGCCUCCCCUUGUGACUGGAGGGAACUGCCCGCUGAGCUGCUCCCCAGGUCCCGGGAAGUGGUGAGGGAUGGUAACCACUGACCACUUCCCAUCCCACCACUGCGCACGGCGACCCUCUGUUAGGAAGCGCUGAGGUAGUGGGGAAGGAGCAGCUGUGCGGAGCGCAGCCCCAUUUUUGAGAAGCGGGGAAGUGACACCCAUCACCCUCUGCAGGGAGUCGCAAAGCAGCGCGCUCAGCGAGUUUGGAAAUGUGCUGUCUUGCAGGUGGGAGACUCAGACAACUCAGGCCCGACUGGACCUGAGGAAGAAACUGCGAGUGGGCUGAAGGCCUUAGAAGGGAAGGCCACGGUCAUUUCCUUGGAGGCAGAGCCGUGCCUGAAGGCUUCUCAGAGGUCCUGCGGAGCUGACCUAAGGAGAUCUCUGAUUCUGGCCCGCCCCGGAGGAAGGAACGCUCCGCGGAGAGCCCCAGAGGAGUCCGAGCAGACAGACCUGGUUCUGUUAGAUUGCUGCCUUCUGUCCGGUCACGUUCUGUCCACUCUUCGUCCAAUCUAAGCAUAAAGUUAGUCUUCCCUG